AAAAGACCUGCUAUUAACCUUACCAAAAGGAACCUUGCCCUUCCUCUGAAUGUCACGCCACUCAUCAGACACUUGCCUCAACUUUGGCUGAUUGCCCUCAAUUGGGAAGUAAAAAGACUCCUGAAUCUCUCGCCCGAGAGGAGGACCCUCCACAGCAAAUCCCAUUUGUCUCCUAAGAAGCACCGGGUUGUAAUUAAUGCAACCUUGAACUCCUAUAAGAGGCACAUUGGGA
Molecule: long non-coding RNA, 232 nt
Filed under: Lathyrus oleraceus (garden pea)
Lineage: Eukaryota; Viridiplantae; Streptophyta; Magnoliopsida; Fabales; Fabaceae
Description: Pisum sativum (pea) long non-coding RNA (PSAT_LNC038995)
Source: RNAcentral